This 765-nucleotide ribosomal RNA is filed under the name uncultured bacterium. Its description in RNAcentral is "bacterial SSU rRNA". It matches the Rfam family "Bacterial small subunit ribosomal RNA", at positions 9 to 820 of the family's 1533-position model. The record is from RNAcentral.
GAGUUUGAUCAUGGCUCAGAACGUACGCUGGCGGCACGCCUAACACAUGCAAGUCGAACGAAGUAGCAAUACUUAGUGGCAGACGGGUGAGUAACAUGUAGGUAUCUGCCCUUUGGCCUGGAAUAACACGAGGAAACUUGUGCUAAUACCGGAUAAGUCUUCACGGAGAAAGCUUUAUGCACCAUUGGAUGAGCCUGCACUUGAUUAGUUUGUUGGUAGGGUAAUGGCCUACCAAGACUGUGAUCAAUAGCUGAUUUGAGAGGAUGAUCAGCCACAUUGGGACUGAGACACGGCCCAAACUCCUACGGGAGGCAGCAGUGGGGAAUCUUGCACAAUGGAGGAAACUCUGAUGCAGCGAUGCCGCGUGAGUGAAGAAGGCCCUUGGGUUGUAAAGCUCUUUCGUCGGGGAAGAAAAUGACUGUACCCGAAUAAGAAGGUCCGGCUAACUUCGUGCCAGCAGCCGCGGUAAUACGAAGGGACCUAGCGUAGUUCGGAAUUACUGGGCUUAAAGAGUUCGUAGGUGGUUGAAAUAGUUGGUGGUGAAAUCCCAGAGCUUAACUCUGGAACUGCCAUCAAAACUUUUCAGCUAGAGUAUGAUAGAGGAAGCAGAAUUUCUAGUGUAGAGGUGAAAUUCGUAGAUAUUAGAAAGAAUACCAAUUGCGAAAGCAGCUUUCUGGAUCAUUACUGACACUGAGGAACGAAAGCAUGGGUAGCGAAGAGGAUUAGAUACCCUCGUAGUCCAUGCCGUAAACGAUGUGUGUUAGA